Molecule: ribosomal RNA, 253 nt
Filed under: uncultured Desulfomonile sp.
Lineage: Bacteria; Pseudomonadati; Thermodesulfobacteriota; Desulfomonilia; Desulfomonilales; Desulfomonilaceae
Description: partial 16S ribosomal RNA
Rfam family: Bacterial small subunit ribosomal RNA
Source: RNAcentral
GACGGAGGGUGCAAGCGUUGUUCGGAAUCACUGGGCGUAAAGCGCGUGUAGGCGGUUGGAUAAGUCGGAUGUGAAAUCCCGAAGCUCAACUUCGGAAGUGCAUUCGAAACUGUUCAGCUAGAGUACGGGAGAGGGGAGUGGAAUUCCUGGUGUAGAGGUGAAAUUCGUAGAUAUCAGGAGGAACACCGGUGGCGAAGGCGGCUCUCUGGACCGAUACUGACGCUGAGACGCGAAAGCGUGGGGAGCAAACAGG